CAGUAGCCGCGGUAAUACGAAGGGUGCAAGCGUUACUCGGAAUUACUGGGCGUAAAGCGUGCGUAGGCGGCUUCUUAAGUCGGAUGUGAAAUCCCUGAGCUUAACUUAGGAAUUGCAUUCGAUACUGGGAAGCUAGAGUAUGGGAGAGGAUGGUAGAAUUCCAGGUGUAGCGGUGAAAUGCGUAGAGAUCUGGAGGAAUACCGAUGGCGAAGGCAGCCAUCUGGCCUAAUACUGACGCUGAGGUACGAAAGCAUGGGGAGCAAACAGGAUUAGAUACCCCCGUAGUCCCUGUCUCUUAUAC
Molecule: ribosomal RNA, 301 nt
Filed under: uncultured bacterium
Lineage: Bacteria
Description: partial 16S ribosomal RNA
Rfam family: Bacterial small subunit ribosomal RNA
Source: RNAcentral